RNAcentral lists this unclassified non-coding RNA (830 nucleotides) under Homarus americanus (American lobster). Its description in RNAcentral is "uncharacterized LOC121878935, transcript variant X3". Lineage: Eukaryota; Metazoa; Arthropoda; Malacostraca; Decapoda; Nephropidae. The record is from RNAcentral.
GUGACUUGUCUUUGCCGAGAGCCACUAUUGCAAAGUCGAAACGUAAUGUCAGUGUUAGCUACGUGGGUGUGCUACCAAGAAAGGUGUUCCCAACAGGCAAAUAGCCAGCAAGUGUGGAUGUUUUGAUAAAGUGGGUUACGAGCGUAUUAAGGACAUUUUUAGUGAAUUCUGGGCCACAGGUAACUACGCCAAACAGAAUGCCUUCCUUGGUAAUCUCGCCAAGGCUGGAGUGAUAAAGCCACGCCUCAAGGGUCGGGGUCUCCCACCAUGUCGGUUGUGUUUGGUGAUAUCACUUAUAGUGUUUGCCGUAAAGCUUUUUACAGCAUCCACAGUAUAUCUGAAAGACGUGUGAGGACUAUCUUGGGCAAUAAGCAGGGUACAAACCCUAAUGUGAGGAAGAUCAGGGGCGAGAAGCGACAAGUGGUAAAAGAGCACAUUAAAAGUAGUCCAGCAGUGUUGAAUCACUGUAGCAGGGCAAAAAGUCCCAAUACAAAAUACCUAGCAACUAACCUCAAUGUUAAUGCCCUUUACGUUUUGUACUACGAUUGGAUCGAGGCAAACCACAGUGGUCACGAGCCAGUUUCCAGUGAUUACUGUCACGAGAUAUUGUUAUUGAGUUCAAUCUUGGAUUUUCCUCUUCAAUGGCUGACAUAAGAAACUUUUGUGAUAGACUAACUAUGAGAUACGCUCGUUGGAACCUGAGGGAGGACAGUGCGCGUAUCACCAACUCAUUAAAGUAUCUUGGCAAAACAACUCUAUCAAGGGGAAUGUAAACGAACUCCACGAGAAAUUGGAAAAAGAAGAAAACAGCGAAGGCGAAGAAAUCAAAC